This 30-nucleotide non-coding RNA is filed under the name Mus musculus (house mouse). The record is from RNAcentral. Lineage: Eukaryota; Metazoa; Chordata; Mammalia; Rodentia; Muridae. RNAcentral also lists the same sequence under 1 other name.
UCUCGGUAUCUGUAUUCAUACUAAGAAGGA